This 495-nucleotide ribosomal RNA is filed under the name uncultured bacterium. RNAcentral's name for it is "partial 16S ribosomal RNA". It matches the Rfam family "Bacterial small subunit ribosomal RNA", at positions 28 to 507 of the family's 1533-position model. The record is from RNAcentral.
GACGAACGCUGGCGGCGUGCCUAAUACAUGCAAGUAGAACGCUGAAGGAGGAGCUUGCUUCUCUGGAUGAGUUGCGAACGGGUGAGUAACGCGUAGGUAACCUGCCUUGUAGCGGGGGAUAACUAUUGGAAACGAUAGCUAAUACCGCAUAAGAGUAGAUGUUGCAUGACAUUUACUUAAAAGGUGCAAUUGCAUCACUACCAGAUGGACCUGCGUUGUAUUAGCUAGUUGGUGAGGUAACGGCUCACCAAGGCAACGAUACAUAGCCGACCUGAGAGGGUGAUCGGCCACACUGGGACUGAGACACGGCCCAGACUCCUACGGGAGGCAGCAGUAGGGAAUCUUCGGCAAUGGACGGAAGUCUGACCGAGCAACGCCGCGUGAGUGAAGAAGGUUUUCGGAUCGUAAAGCUCUGUUGUAAGAGAAGAACGAGUGUGAGAGUGGAAAGUUCACACUGUGACGGUAUCUUACCAGAAAGGGACGGCUAACUACGUG